CAACCUGCCCACCACUUGGGGAUAACCUUGCGAAAGUAAGACUAAUACCCAAUGAUAUCUCUAGAAGACAUCUGAAAGAGAUUAAAGAUUUAUCGGUGAUGGAUGGGGAUGCGUCUGAUUAGCUUGUUGGCGGGGUAACGGCCCACCAAGGCAACGAUCAGUAGGGGUUCUGAGAGGAAGGUCCCCCACAUUGGAACUGAGACACGGUCCAAACUCCUAUGGGAGGCAGCAGUGAGGAAUAUUGGUCAAUGGACGAGAGUCUGAACCAGCCAAGUAGCGUGCAGGAAGACGGCCCUAUGGGUUGUAAACUGCUUUUAUAAGGGAAUAAAGUGAGUCUCGUGAGACUUUUUGCAUGUACCUUAUGAAUAAGGACCGGCUAAUUCCGUGCCAGCAGCCGCGGUAAUACGGAAGGUCCGGGCGUUAUCCGGAUUUAUUGGGUUUAAAGGGGGCGUAGGCCGGAGAUUAAGCGUGUUGUGAAAUGUAGAUGCUCAACAUCUGAACUGCAGCGCGAACUGGUUUCCUUGAGUACGCACAAAGUGGGCGGAAUUCGUGGUGUAGCGGUGAAAUGCUUAGAUAUCACGAAGAACUCCGAUUG
RNAcentral lists this ribosomal RNA (595 nucleotides) under uncultured Bacteroidota bacterium. Its description in RNAcentral is "bacterial SSU rRNA". It matches the Rfam family "Bacterial small subunit ribosomal RNA", at positions 122 to 715 of the family's 1533-position model. Lineage: Bacteria; Pseudomonadati; Bacteroidota. The record is from RNAcentral.